This 278-nucleotide ribosomal RNA is filed under the name Clostridium polyendosporum. RNAcentral's name for it is "partial 16S rRNA". It matches the Rfam family "Bacterial small subunit ribosomal RNA", at positions 8 to 289 of the family's 1533-position model. The record is from RNAcentral. Lineage: Bacteria; Bacillati; Bacillota; Clostridia; Eubacteriales; Clostridiaceae.
AGAGUUUGAUCCUGGCUCAGGACGAACGUGGCGGCGUGCUAACACAUGCAAGUCGAGCGAGGAAUUUCCUUCGGGAAAUUCCUAGCGGCGGACGGGUGAGUAACACGUGGGUAACCUGCCUCAUAGAGGGGGAUAGCCCUCCGAAAGAGAUUAAUACCGCAUAAUGUUGUUGAAUCGCAUGAUUCGAUAACCAAAGGAGCAAUCCGCUAUGAGAUGGACCCGCGGCGCAUUAGCUAGUUGGUGAGGUAAUGGCUCACCAAGGCGACGAUGCGUAGCCG